GACGAACGCUGGCGGCGUGCUUAACACAUGCAAGUCGAACGGAAAGGCCCUGCUUUUGUGGGGUGCUCGAGUGGCGAACGGGUGAGUAACACGUGAGUAACCUGCCCUUGACUUUGGGAUAACUUCAGGAAACUGGGGCUAAUACCGGAUAGGAGCUCCUGCUGCAUGGUGGGGGUUGGAAAGUUUCGGCGGUUGGGGAUGGACUCGCGGCUUAUCAGCUUGUUGGUGGGGUAGUGGCUUACCAAGGCUUUGACGGGUAGCCGGCCGAAGAGGGUGACCGGCCACAUUGGGACUGCGAUACGGCCCAGACUCCUACGGGAGGCAGCAGUGGGGAAUAUUGCACAAUGGGCGGAAGCCUGAUGCAGCAACGCCGCGUGCGGGAUGACGGCCUUCGGGUUGUAAACCGCUUUCGCCUGUGACGAAGCGUGAGUGACGGUAAUGGGUAAAGAAGCACCGGCUAACUACGUG
This 468-nucleotide ribosomal RNA is filed under the name uncultured bacterium. RNAcentral describes it as "partial 16S ribosomal RNA". It matches the Rfam family "Bacterial small subunit ribosomal RNA", at positions 28 to 507 of the family's 1533-position model. The record is from RNAcentral.